CCUACGGGUGGCAGCAGUGAGGAAUAUUGGUCAAUGGGCGAGAGCCUGAACCAGCCAAGUCGCGUGAGGGCGUACUGCCCUAUGGGUUGUAAACCUCUUUUGUCGGGGAGCAAAAGCCGGACGUGUCCGGCUGUGAGAGUACCCGAAGAAAAAGCAUCGGCUAACUCCGUGCCAGCAGCCGCGGUAAUACGGAGGAUGCGAGGGUUAUCCGGAUUUAUUGGGUUUAAGGGGUGCGUAGGCGGACUGUUAAGUCAGCGGUAAAAGCCCGGGGCUCAACCCCGGCGAGCCGUUGAAACUGGCUGUCUUGAGAUGUCGAGAGGUAUGCGGAAUGCGUGGUGUAGCGGUGAAAUGCAUAGAGAUCACGCAGAACUCCGAUUGCGAAGGCAGCAUACCGGCGCCCUACUGACGCUGAGGCACGAAAGCGUGGGUAUCGAACAGGAUUAGAUACCCGAGUAGUC
Molecule: ribosomal RNA, 458 nt
Filed under: uncultured bacterium
Lineage: Bacteria
Description: partial 16S ribosomal RNA
Rfam family: Bacterial small subunit ribosomal RNA
Source: RNAcentral